GUUCAGCUCCCUCCAAGAUCGGCCUCUGGAAGUAGCAGCACAUGAAAUACCUUCACCAGGUGCCCUGUGGAGGGUUGGAUUUGCUCCCAGAGCUGUUCAGGUGCCUCAUGGAGCUCCAGUUUCUACCACCGCUGUUCCCGGAGCUCUGGUGCCGGCAGAGGGAGCACAGGCAGCGCGGAGGAGCUCGCAGCUCUCGGCAGAUCCAUCCCAUCCCGGGCUGGGGCACUCUCCUAAAACAUUGCUGGAAUUUUAAAGGUCUCCUCAAAGAUCCCAGUGCAGGCACUUGGGUGAAGGUUUUCAUUUCCUUGGACUGUAAAUGUUCUUUUGAGCCUCAGGCAGUUCCCUCCAGCAGAACUUGGAGGAGACACAUGUCAAACACUCUCCACUUGGGCUCAGAGGUUGCAAGAGAAGGACAAUCCAGGACUCUGGCAGGUGUGGAAGUGACAAUUCCAGCAGUAGAACACAGGCAGCCCUGCGGCAGCUACAGUGGAAGCAGCCCCUCCCUGCUACAGUUUAACACAGUCUUGGACAGAGGAGAAGCGCAGGAACCAACAUGCAAAGCAAUUCAAAGACCCCAGGGGCUCGAGGAAGACCACCCACAGCUCAGCUCCUGCUCCCAGCAGUGCCUCUGGGGGCUCUUUCCCUCCAGCUGCUGCUCCAGUCAUGCCCCAGAGCAGGAGGGAGGUCAUGGCAGACACCAAACCUACACACACAGAGAGGAGAGAACUGGCCUGGGAUUGUGUCUUGAUGAGUCAGGGAGAAGAGAGAUCCUUCAGGAAGAGGUGCUGACUUCCAUAGCAAGCCAGGAGAUGAAGCUCAGAUAUUUCACCACAAAUUUCUUGUGUCAGAGCUGGCAUCUCUUGGAGCCAGCAACUCUUCUAAAUGCCUGUGAUGGAUGUCGAGGCCAAAGAUUCCCACAGCACUGGAGAAAUCUUUGCCAACACGUAGAAAUGGAUGUCCCCAGAAGGAAGAGGUGCAUCAGACUUGACUGGCCCUUGCAGACAACACAACAAACACCAC
Molecule: long non-coding RNA, 1020 nt
Filed under: Cyanistes caeruleus (blue tit)
Lineage: Eukaryota; Metazoa; Chordata; Aves; Passeriformes; Paridae
Description: lncRNA (ENSCCEG00000020963.1)
Source: RNAcentral